Molecule: long non-coding RNA, 248 nt
Filed under: Anser brachyrhynchus (Pink-footed goose)
Lineage: Eukaryota; Metazoa; Chordata; Aves; Anseriformes; Anatidae
Description: lncRNA (ENSABRG00000019597.1)
Source: RNAcentral
AGCCCCGUGCUUCCAGAGAGCUCAGCUGUUGAGUCAGCUGAGCCGGGGGCUUUGCGAAGCACCGAGGGGGAAAGGGUCCCCGUACACUGAGUGUUUGGGAGCUGUGGGAGCUCCAAAAAGCUCCAGGGUGUCUGAGAACCUGAGUAGCAGGUCGAGAGUGGACCUCCAGCUGCGGGGCACUGCAAAUCACGCUGCACGGCGCUUCCAAGUAUGAACAAACCUAAACGAAGACAGCUGGCAGGGGCUCU